Molecule: ribosomal RNA, 292 nt
Filed under: uncultured bacterium
Lineage: Bacteria
Description: partial 16S ribosomal RNA
Source: RNAcentral
GGACUACUGGGGUUUCUAAUCCCUUUUGCUCCCCAUACUUUCGAGCCUGAGUGUCAGGAUUUGUCCAGCGGGCUGCCUUCGCCGUCGGUGUUCCUCCAGAUAUCUACGCAUUUCACCGCUACACCUGGAAUUCCACCCGCCUCUCCAAUCCUCAAGACAAGUAGUUUCGAGCGCCGUUCCGGGGUUAAGCCCCGGGAUUUCACGCCCGACACACCUGUCCACCUGCGCUCCCUUUACGCCCAGUGAAUCCGAGUAACGCUUGCAGUCUCUGUAUUACCGCGGCUGCUGGCAC